AGAGUUUGAUCAUGGCUCAGGACGAACGCUGGCGGCGCGCCUAACACAUGCAAGUCGAACGAGGAAAUUGUUUUCGGAUGAUUUCCUAGUGGCGGACGGGUGAGUAACGCGUGAGUAACCUGCCUUUCAGAGGGGGAUAACGUCUGGAAACGGACGCUAAUACCGCAUAACAUAUUGAGGUCGCAUGAUUUUGAUAUCAAAGGAGCAAUCCGCUGAAAGAUGGACUCGCGUCCAAUUAGCUAGAUGGUGAGGUAACGGCCCACCAUGGCGACGAUUGGUAGCCGGACUGAGAGGUUGAACGGCCACAUUGGGACUGAGACACGGCCCAG
RNAcentral lists this ribosomal RNA (329 nucleotides) under uncultured bacterium. Its description in RNAcentral is "bacterial SSU rRNA". It matches the Rfam family "Bacterial small subunit ribosomal RNA", at positions 8 to 334 of the family's 1533-position model. The record is from RNAcentral.